Molecule: ribosomal RNA, 253 nt
Filed under: uncultured bacterium
Lineage: Bacteria
Description: partial 16S ribosomal RNA
Rfam family: Bacterial small subunit ribosomal RNA
Source: RNAcentral
UACGAAGGGGGCUAGCGUUACUCGGAUUGACUGGGCGUAAAGGGCGCGUAGGCGGAUGGUACAGUCAGACGUGAAAUUCCUGGGCUCAACCUGGAGGCUGCGUUUGAUACGUGCUGUCUGGAGUUCGGAAGAGGGUCGUGGAAUUCCCAGUGUAGAGGUGAAAUUCGUAGAUAUUGGGAAGAACACCGGUGGCGAAGGCGGCGACCUGGUCCGAUACUGACGCUGAGGCGCGAAAGCGUGGGGAGCAAACAGG